AGGAUGCUUCUUUGGCAGGAUUAAGCCAAUGAGUCCAAGAAAAACAACAAUACCUAUUUCUGGUCGUGAGGACCUAUGAAGGGCAUCCUAUAGUGUGGAGUUAAGGGCUUGUGGCAUGAAGUCACGGAGGCUUAUUGUUGACUUGCAAGAUCAUAGGUGUUGCCAUUGCUGGAGGAAGAGUGGGAGGGUGGUUCUUCGUCCCGUUGCAGUUGGUACAUGUUAUGUCUUCAGCACAUUGAUAGCAAAUAUAGUUCUCUCAGGGUAACCAACUCCCUCCCAAUUACCAGAAGAUGAUGUUACCUUAUGCUAUGUCAUCCCAUAGAUAGGUCAGCAAAUAGCACUGGAAUUUAACCCUUUGAAGCCACCACUUGAGUGACUCAAGAUCCAUCCCUAGGUUUG
Molecule: long non-coding RNA, 399 nt
Filed under: Selaginella moellendorffii
Lineage: Eukaryota; Viridiplantae; Streptophyta; Lycopodiopsida; Selaginellales; Selaginellaceae
Description: long non-coding RNA (SMOE_LNC000778)
Source: RNAcentral